GACGAACGCUGGCGGCGUGCUUAACACAUGCAAGUCGAACGAAGAGCGAUGGAAGCUUGCUUCUAUCAAUCUUAGUGGCGAACGGGUGAGUAACGCGUAAUCAACCUGCCCUUCAGAGGGGGACAACAGUUGGAAACGACUGCUAAUACCGCAUACGAUCUAACCUUGGCAUCGAGGAUGGAUGAAAGGUGGCCUCUAUUUAUAAGCUAUCACUGAAGGAGGGGAUUGCGUCUGAUUAGCUAGUUGGAGGGGUAACGGCCCACCAAGGCGAUGAUCAGUAGCCGGUCUGAGAGGAUGAACGGCCACAUUGGGACUGAGACACGGCCCAGACUCCUACGGGAGGCAGCAGUGGGGAAUCUUCCGCAAUGGACGAAAGUCUGACGGAGCAACGCCGCGUGAGUGAUGACGGCCUUCGGGUUGUAAAGCUCUGUUAAUCGGGACGAAAGGCCUUCUUGCGAAUAGUUAGAAGGAUU
This 473-nucleotide ribosomal RNA is filed under the name Veillonella dispar. Its description in RNAcentral is "bacterial SSU rRNA". It matches the Rfam family "Bacterial small subunit ribosomal RNA", at positions 28 to 478 of the family's 1533-position model. Lineage: Bacteria; Bacillati; Bacillota; Negativicutes; Veillonellales; Veillonellaceae. The record is from RNAcentral.